UCUGCCCGCUGGCGGCGUGCCUAAUACAUGCAAGUCGAGCGAACGGACGAGAAGCUUGCUUCUCUGAUGUUAGCGGCGGACGGGUGAGUAACACGUGGAUAACCUACCUAUAAGACUGGGAUAAAUUCGGGAAACCGGAGCUAAUACCGGAUGAUAUUUUGAACCGCAUGGUUCAAAAGUGAAAGACGGUCUUGCUGUCACUUAUAGAUGGAUCCGCGCUGCAUUAGCUAGUUGGUAAGGUGACGGCUUACCAAGGCAACGAUGCAUAGCCGACCUGAGAGGGUGAUCGGCCACACUGGAACUGAGACACGGUCCAGACUCCUACGGGAGGCAGCAGUAGGGAAUCUUCCGCAAUGGGCGAAAGCCUGACGGAGCAACGCCGCGUGAGUGAUGAAGGUCUUCGGAUCGUAAAACUCUGUUAUUAGGGAAGAACAUAUGUGUAAGUAACUGUGCACAUCUUGACGGUACCUAAUCAGAAAGCCACGGCUAACUACGUG
RNAcentral lists this ribosomal RNA (497 nucleotides) under uncultured bacterium. RNAcentral describes it as "partial 16S ribosomal RNA". It matches the Rfam family "Bacterial small subunit ribosomal RNA", at positions 34 to 507 of the family's 1533-position model. The record is from RNAcentral.